GCGGAUGUAGCCAAGUG
This 17-nucleotide transfer RNA is filed under the name Leucaena leucocephala (white popinac). RNAcentral's name for it is "partial tRNA-His". Lineage: Eukaryota; Viridiplantae; Streptophyta; Magnoliopsida; Fabales; Fabaceae. The record is from RNAcentral. RNAcentral also lists the same sequence under 5 other names.